This 213-nucleotide unclassified non-coding RNA is filed under the name Hevea brasiliensis (rubber tree). Lineage: Eukaryota; Viridiplantae; Streptophyta; Magnoliopsida; Malpighiales; Euphorbiaceae. The record is from RNAcentral.
GAAACAGUUGAGCACAAAACGAGGUUGGUUCUAUUGUUCUGCGUUUCAGGAAUCGAAUUUAUUUUACAAAAACUAUGGGGACUGAAAUUAAAAGUUGAAAUUUGAAGCUUUUGCUCCCUAUCAAUUUGAUUGUUUACAAAAACAGCUCAGCCUAAGCCCUAAUUACUACCAACAACGCAAUAACUACUAAAUCUAGAGUCUUGAAUUUUUGUG